Molecule: ribosomal RNA, 395 nt
Filed under: uncultured bacterium
Lineage: Bacteria
Description: bacterial SSU rRNA
Rfam family: Bacterial small subunit ribosomal RNA
Source: RNAcentral
GUGCCAGCAGCCGCGGUAAUACGGAGGGUGCAAGCAUUAAUCGGAUUUAUUGGGCGUAAAGGGGGCGUAGGCGGGAAUGUAAGUCAGACGUGAAAUCCCGGGGCUCAACCCCGGAACUGCGUUUGAAACUACUUUUCUUGAGGCAGGGCGGAGAAAACGGAAUUCCACAUGUAGCGGUGAAAUGCGUAGAUAUGUGGAAGAACACCGGUGGCGAAGGCGGUUUUCUAGCUCUGACCUGACGCUGAGGCCCGAAAGCUAGGGGAGCAAACAGGAUUAGAUACCCUGGUAGUCCUAGCCGUAAACGAUGCAUACUUGGUGUAACUGGACUCAACCCCGGUUGUGCCGUAGCUAACGCGUUAAGUAUGCCGCCUGGGGAGUACGCCCGCAAGGGUGAA